Molecule: transfer-messenger RNA, 424 nt
Filed under: Spiroplasma syrphidicola
Lineage: Bacteria; Bacillati; Mycoplasmatota; Mollicutes; Entomoplasmatales; Spiroplasmataceae
Also listed under: 1 other name
Description: Standard tmRNA
Rfam family: transfer-messenger RNA
About the family: Bacterial tmRNA, also known as 10Sa RNA or SsrA, is named for its dual tRNA and mRNA-like properties.
Source: RNAcentral
GGGGGUGUCUAGGUUUCGACAGGAGUGGUUGAAUUUUAUAGGCAGUAGUUUGGCAGACUAUAAUGCUACUAGGUUUGAAGAAACGCAAACAAAAACAACAAAGAAGAUAAAAUUGAAAUGCCAGCAUUCAUGAUGAAUAAUCAAUUUGCUGGUUCAAUGCUAGCUGCUUAAUUAACUCGCUGUUAGAGUUUUAGUUAGCCGUAAUAGAAACUAGUUGUAGGUUAAUAGUUUUUAUCGUAGGAAAAAAAUAAUCUAACCGGAAUAAUAAGGGGUAAUGGUAUUAUUUUUGGUUCCAAAUUACCUAGUAAUUUAAUUAGUUGUUCUGUCCUACCAUUAAAUUAUGAAUAAAGCUGAUAGAACUAAACUGUAGAUUAUAAGAGGAAAGCAUUUGUGGACGCGGGUUCGAUUCCCGCCACCUCCACCA